Non-coding RNA from Octopus bimaculoides (California two-spot octopus), 73 nucleotides. Lineage: Eukaryota; Metazoa; Mollusca; Cephalopoda; Octopoda; Octopodidae. The record is from Rfam.
GGUUCUGUGGUGUAGUGGUUAUCACGUCUGCUUUACACGCAGAAGGUCGUGAGUUCGAUCCUCACCAGAACCU